GACGAACGCUGGCGGUGUGCCUCACACAUGCAAGUCGAACGGGGUAGCAAUACCCAGUGGCGGACGGGUGAGUAACACGUGGGAAUCUGCCUUUAAGUGGGGGAUAACUGACCGAAAGGUUAGCUAAUACCGCAUACGCAGAAAUGUAAAAGGAGCAAUCCGCUUGAAGAUGAGCCCGCGUCCGAUUAGCUAGUUGGUAGGGUAAAGGCCUACCAAGGCUACGAUCGGUAGCUGGUCUGAGAGGAUGAUCAGCCACAAUGGAACUGAGACACGGUCC
Molecule: ribosomal RNA, 277 nt
Filed under: uncultured bacterium
Lineage: Bacteria
Description: partial 16S ribosomal RNA
Rfam family: Bacterial small subunit ribosomal RNA
Source: RNAcentral